GAUGCUCGCUCUUUUGCUAUGCCUAUGCUGCGAUACCUACCACUUCCUUAUCAUGCCUCCCAUAUUGUUGAACCAAGCCUCUAACCCACCUUGUCCUAGUAAACCGUUGAUUGGCUAUGUUACCGCUUUGCUCAGCCCCUCUUAUAGCGUUGUUAGUUGCAGGUGAAGAUUGAAGUUUGUUCCUUGUUGGAACAUGGAGAUGUUGUUCCUUGUUGGAACAUGUUUACUUGUUGCGAUAUCACUAUAUAUCUUAUUUAAUUAAUGCAUCUAUAUACUUGGUAAAGGGUGGAAGGCUCAGCCUUAUGCCUGGUGUUUUGUUCCACUCUUGCCGCCCUAGUUCCCGUCAUAUCGGUGUUAUGUUCCCGGAUUUUGCGUUCCUUACGCGGUUGGGCUAUAAUGGGAACCCCUUGACAGUUCGCCUUAAGUAAAGCUCUUCCAGCAAUGCCCAACUUUGGUUUUACCAUUCGCCACCUAGCCUUUUUUUCCUUGGGUUUCACGGACUCAAGAGUCAUCAUUAUUUUAACCCCCCCCCCCUCCACGGGCCAGUGCUCCUCUGAGUAUUGGUCCAACCUGUCAGCUGCCGGUGACCACCAGGGGCAACUCUGGGCUGGCCUACCCGUACCUAAGACAAUCUGAGUGUGCCCUGAGAAAGAGAUAUGUGGAGCUCCUAUCGGGAUUUGUCGGCACAUUCGGGCGGUGUUGCUGGUUUAGUUUUACCCUGUCGAAAUUUCUUGUUGUACCGGGAUACCGAGUCUAAUCGGAAUGUCUCGGGAGGAGGUCUAUUCCUUCGUUGACCGUGAGAGCUUGUGAUGGGCUAAGUUGGGACACCCCUGCAGGGAUUUGAACUUUCGAAAGCCGUGCCCGCGGUUAUGGGCAGAUGGGAAUUUGUUAAUGUCCGGUUGUAGAAAACUUAAAGUUGACCUUAAUUAAAAUACAUCAACCGCGUGUGUAACCAUGAUGGUCUCUUUCCGGCGGAGUCCGGGAAGUGAACACGGUUGUUGGAGUUAUGCUUGACGUAGGUUGCUAUAGGAUCACUUCUUGAUCAUACUUUUAUCGACUGUGCUUUGCCCUCUCUUCUCGCUCUCAUUUGCGUAUGUUAGCCACCAUAUAUGCUAGUCGCUUGCUGCAGCUCCACCUCAUACCUUUACCUUACCCAUAAGCUUAAAUAGUCUUGAUCGUGAGGGUGCGAGAUUGCUGAGUCCCCGUGGCUCACAGAUAUUUCCAAAACUAGCUUGCAGGUGCCGAUGAGUCUAUGCAGAUGACGCAACCAAGCUCUAGGAGGAGCUCGAUGAAGAUCUUGUCCUUUGUGUUGUUUCAUUCUAGUUGAUCAGUAGUGGAGCCCAGUUGGGGUCGAUCGGGGACCUUUGUCGCAUUUGGGGUUCUUCUUUUAUUUUGGUUCCGGAGUCGGACCUUGAUUGUUUUUGGUUGAUGUAAUGCUUUACUCAUGUAAUUGUGUGAAGUGGUGAUUGUAAGUCAACUAUGUAUCUCUUUUCCCUUAUUGUAUUACAUGGGUUGUUUGCGAAGAUUACCUCACUUGCGACAUUGCUUUCAAUGAGGUUAUGCCUCUAAGUCGUGCUUCGACACGUGGGAGAUAUAGCCGCAUCGAGGGCGUGACAUGCCACCUCCCGUUCGCCCGUGACCGCUGCCCUGCUCGUCUCGAUCCAGAGAGACCGAGCCGGCCUCCUUUACCCGCGUGGGCCCCAUCCAGCGCUGAGGCCCAGCAGCGCCCCGGCCUGCUUCCCCUCCAACUCAUGGGCCAAGCCCAUGGUGAGCCACCACUGCGCCUCCCCCUUAUACUAUUGGGCUAGUCAGAAUCGGCCCAUAAGUUUUUUUUCCUGCUGCUGUGAUUUUCACAAUUUUCCAGAGUUUACGGUUUUACAGAAACACCCUUGCACAUCUUUCAUAUCAUAACUCACCAACCGUGCAUCGGAUCUAAAUAAAUUAUAUAUGCAACUUGCUUUGAAUUUUGUGUGGAUUAAUAAUUUGCAACUUCCAUCUAUGUUUAAAAUGUUUAAAAUGAUGUUUGCUUAUAUUUUGCUUAAUUGCCAUGUUAAAAUGCUUUAUUUCAUAACUAAAUAACCGUUGCUCGGAUUUAAAUAAACUUUAUAUGUAAAUGGGGUAGAAAAAUGCCUAGUUUAACAUGGUGCACUCAUCUUUCAUGUUUAAUAACUCUAAAAUAUGGUUUAGGGCAGAACAGUACCAAACCUAAAAAUAUGCACAUGAGGAUUUUCCGGAAUUGUUGUUUGUUAUUUCCGGCCUCAUUUAAACUUGACUAGGUGGUUAGUUUAAUUAUUUUCACAUCUUUCCAUGCUAACCAACAUAUAAUUUUGUUGAGUACUUAAAUGGGAGAGAACUAAAUAAUUGUUGUGGUGUUUCGUCAAUAUGCAAGCUCCACUUAACUUGUAGUUUUGCUUGUGCACUUUUCCAUGCCAUGCCUCUUUAAACCGGACAUGCAUCAUACUUCAUUGUGCAUCAUGCCAUGAUUAUGUGAUGGUUGUUUACCAUGUUGUUUGCUUCUUUCCGGUGUUGCUUCUUCGGGUUAGUUCCGAUAAUGUCGCGUUUAUGAGGAUCCGUUCGACUACGUCCGUUUGUCUUCUUCAUGGACUUGUUCUUCUUCCUUGCGGGAUCUCAGGCAAGAUGACCAUACCCUCGAAAUCACUUCUAUCUUUGCUUGCUAGUUGCUCUCUCUAUUGCUAUGUCGCGCUACCUACCACUUGCUAUAUCAUGCCUCCCAUAUUGCCAUGUCAAGCCUCUAACCCACUUUCCUAGCAAACCGUUGUUUGGCUAUGUUACCGCUUUUGCACAUCCCCUCUUAUAGCGUUGCUAGUUGGAGGUGAAGAUGAAGUUUGUUCCAUGUUGGAGCAUGGAUAUUGUUGGGAUAUCAUUAUUAUAUCUUAUUUACUUUAAUGCACAUAUAUACUUGGUAAAGGGUGGAAGGCUCGGCCUUAUGCCUGGUGUUUU
Molecule: long non-coding RNA, 2961 nt
Filed under: Triticum aestivum (bread wheat)
Lineage: Eukaryota; Viridiplantae; Streptophyta; Magnoliopsida; Poales; Poaceae
Description: long non-coding RNA (TAES_LNC021662)
Source: RNAcentral